CCUAAGACAUGCAAGUCGAACGAAUGGCCCAGAAAUAUUUAUUGAAGUUUGAAGUGCUUGCACUGAUUACUGAUUUAUUUGGCUCUGGAUUCUCCAUUUAGUGGCAAACGGGUGAGUAACACGUGGGUUACCUACCUCUAAGUUGGGGAUAACAGUUGGAAACGACUGGUAAUACCGAAUGUGUUCUACGGAACAAAGAAGCCUCUAAAGCUUCACUUAAAGAUGGGCCUGCGGCGUAUUAACUAGUUGGUGAGGUAAUGGCUCACCAAGGUAACGAUGCGUAGCCGAACUGAGAGGUUGAACGGCCACACUGGGACUGAGACACGGCCCAGACUCCUACGGGAGACAGCAGUUAGGAAUAUUCGUCAAUGGGGGAAACCCUGAACGAGCAAUGCCGCGUGAGUGAUGAAGGCCCUAUGGGUUGUAAAACUCUGUUGUAUGGGAAGAACGGCUAUAUUAGGAAAUGAAUAUAGAGUGACGGUACCAUACCAGAAAGCUCCGGCUAACUACGUG
Molecule: ribosomal RNA, 513 nt
Filed under: uncultured bacterium
Lineage: Bacteria
Description: bacterial SSU rRNA
Rfam family: Bacterial small subunit ribosomal RNA
Source: RNAcentral